RNAcentral lists this ribosomal RNA (305 nucleotides) under uncultured bacterium. RNAcentral's name for it is "bacterial SSU rRNA". It matches the Rfam family "Bacterial small subunit ribosomal RNA", at positions 336 to 659 of the family's 1533-position model. The record is from RNAcentral.
UUCCUACGGGGGGCAGCAGUGGGGAAUAUUGCACAAUGGGGGGAACCCUGAUGCAGCAAUGCCGCGUGGGUGAAGAAGCACUCCGGUGCGUAAAGCCCUGUCAGCAGGGAAGAAAAUGACAGUACCUGGACAAGAAGCCCCGGCUAACUACGUGCCAGCAGCCGCGGUAAUACGGAGGAUGCGAGCGUUAUCCGGAUUUAUUGGGUUUAAAGGGUGCGCAGGCGGGAGAUCAAGUCAGCGGUAAAAUGUCGGGGCUCAACCCCGGCCGGCCGUUGAAACUGGUUUUCUAGAGUUGGAGAGAAGUA